This 327-nucleotide long non-coding RNA is filed under the name Pogona vitticeps (central bearded dragon). Its description in RNAcentral is "lncRNA (ENSPVIG00000001146.1)". Lineage: Eukaryota; Metazoa; Chordata; Lepidosauria; Squamata; Agamidae. The record is from RNAcentral.
GAAUGCUUCUCAUAAAAUUACGAUUAUGGUGAGAGCGCUGACUAGGGAUAUAAUUGAGUUUAGUGAGUAUCCUGUUAGUAUUGGGAAUCAGUAUACUAGUCCAGCUAUGAUGGCUGCGGCUAGUACUGGGAGUGAUAGUAGUAGAAGAAUGGCUGUGAGGAAAACUGAUCAGACGAAUAGGGGUCAGUUGUACGGAGAUAUGUGGUGGGGAGAUAUGUUGAUGCAGGUGGUAAUGAAAUUAAUUGCGCCAAGGAUGGAGGAUGCUCCUGCUAAGUGUAGGGCGAAGAUGGCAAGGUCUAUUGAUGGGCCGGCGUGGGCUAGGUUUCC